RNAcentral lists this microRNA (28 nucleotides) under Bombyx mori (domestic silkworm). RNAcentral's name for it is "bmo-miR-3388-5p". The record is from miRBase by way of RNAcentral. Lineage: Eukaryota; Metazoa; Arthropoda; Insecta; Lepidoptera; Bombycidae.
ACAAGUCAAACAUGCCUUGGCCCAUUCA